CGAACUAGUAUCAAUGAACAUUGAAACUGGAAGCACAAUUUUUCAUUUCGUGAAGUGGUGCGAGUUGCGCACCUGAGGUGCCGCACUUUCUCCAUGUUUUCUACUGGUGUGCUAAACGAGGAAGCCAAAGAAAUGGGUUGCCAAACAUGUACGCUACUGACUGCAUUAGCUCCGGAUCUGUGCUCAGUUAGGACAGUCAGGGUGCGUGUGUGACAGUGUCAUGUCAUGACCCAUGUAAAGUGAGCUAUGGGGAGAAACUCCCAAAAAAAAAGUUUAACUGUUUAUCUUCA
Long non-coding RNA from Panicum hallii, 290 nucleotides. RefSeq lists it as uncharacterized. The transcript is spliced from 2 exons. The record is from RefSeq and is a predicted model, not a curated record. Lineage: Eukaryota; Viridiplantae; Streptophyta; Magnoliopsida; Poales; Poaceae.